GAAUCACGGUUGAAACAAGAUUUAUCAUGAGAAGUCAGCAGAAGUCAUAGUACCAAGGUAGUCAUGAAUGCCUUGGGAAGGAC
Molecule: non-coding RNA, 83 nt
Organism: Lutispora thermophila DSM 19022
Lineage: Bacteria; Bacillati; Bacillota; Clostridia; Lutisporales; Lutisporaceae
Source: Rfam